This 497-nucleotide ribosomal RNA is filed under the name uncultured bacterium. Its description in RNAcentral is "partial 16S ribosomal RNA". It matches the Rfam family "Bacterial small subunit ribosomal RNA", at positions 28 to 507 of the family's 1533-position model. The record is from RNAcentral.
GAUGAACGCUGGCGGCGUGCCUAAUACAUGCAAGUCGAGCGAACAGACGAGGAGCUUGCUCCUCUGACGUUAGCGGCGGACGGGUGAGUAACACGUGGAUAACCUACCUAUAAGACUGGGAUAACUUCGGGAAACCGGAGCUAAUACCGGAUAAUAUAUUGAACCGCAUGGUUCAAUAGUGAAAGACGGUUUUGCUGUCACUUAUAGAUGGAUCCGCGCCGCAUUAGCUAGUUGGUAAGGUAACGGCUUACCAAGGCAACGAUGCGUAGCCGACCUGAGAGGAUGAUCAGCCACACUGGAACUGAGACACGGUCCAGACUCCUACGGGAGGCAGCAGUAGGGAAUCUUCCGCAAUGGGCGAAAGCCUGACGGAGCAACGCCGCGUGAGUGAUGAAGGUCUUCGGAUCGUAAAGCUCUGUUAUUAGGGAAGAACAAAUGUGUAAGUAACUAUGCACGUCUUGACGGUACCUAAUCAGAAAGCCCCGGCUAACUACGUG